GAUCAAGCGUCUCAAGGGCACCUGGUGGAUGCCUUGGCACCGAGAGGCGAUGAAGGACGUGGCACGCUGCGAAAAGCCACGGGGAGCUGCGAGCAAGCUGUGAUCCGUGGAUGUCCGAAUGGGGAAACCCGGCCCGUAUAGGGUCGCCCCGUGCUGAACCCAUAGGCACGGCGGCGCGAACCCGGGGAACUGAAACAUCUAAGUACCCGGAGGAAAGGAAAUCAACCGAGACUCCCUGAGUAGUGGCGAGCGAAAGGGGACCAGGCCAGUGGCCGCGAUACGGCGAACCGGAAGCGUCUGGAAAGGCGCCCCAAAGAGGGUGAUAGGCCCGUACGGGUAGGUCGGUCGCGGUCCGUGAGUAGGGCGGGACACGGAGUAUCCUGUCUGAAGAUGGGGGGACCACCCUCCAAGCCUAAGUACUCCUCGGUGACCGAUAGCGAACCAGUACCGUGAGGGAAAGGUGAAAAGCACCCCGACGAGGGGAGUGAAACAGAACCUGAAACCGGGUGCCUACAAUCAGUGGGAGCACCACUGCGGUGGUGUGACUGCGUACCUCUUGCAUAAUGGGUCAGCGAGUUGGUGUCGCGAGCAAGCUUAAGCCGUUAGGUGGAGGCGAAGCGAAAGCGAGUCUUAACAGGGCGUCGAGUUCGCGGCACCAGACCCGAAACCGGGUGAUCUAGCCAUGGACAGGCUGAAGGUGGGGUGACACCCACUGGAGGGCCGAACCGACCGAUGUUGCAAAAUCGGCGGAUGAUCUGUGGUUAGGGGUGAAAGGCCAAUCAAACCCGGAGAUAGCUGGUUCUCCGCGAAACCUAUUUUGGUAGGGCGUCGCGUGGUCACCGCCGGGGGUAGAGCACUGGAUGGGCUAGGGCCCCGCGAGGGGUACCAAACCUAACCAAACUGCGAAUACCGGCGAGUGCAGCGCGGCAGACAGUCCAUGGGUGCUAAGGUCCGUGGACGAGAGGGAAACAGCCCAGACCGUCGGCUAAGGUCCCAAAGUGGCAGCUAAGUGGGAAAGGAUGUGGGACGGCCAAGACAGCCAGGAGGUUGGCUUAGAAGCAGCCAUCCUUUAAAGAAAGCGUAACAGCUCACUGGCCUAAAUAAGCUGUCCUGCGCCGAAAUAUGUAACGGGGCUCAAGCUGUCCACCGAAGCCACGGACGCACAAUGUGCGUGGUAGCGGAGCGUUCCGUAGGCCUGCGAAGGGGCACCCGUGAGGGGCCCUGGAGGUAUCGGAAGUGCGAAUGCUGACAUGAGUAGCGUUAAAAGGUGUGAGAAACACCUUCGCCGAAAGCCCAAGGGUUCCUGCGCAAGGCUAAUCCGCGCAGGGUGAGCCGGCCCCUAAGGCGAGGGCGAAAGCCGUAGCCGAUGGGAACCAGGUUAAUAGUCCUGGGCCUGUGGGUGGUGACGAAUCCGAAGUGUCGUCGGGGCUUACCGGAUUGUCCCGGCGGCUGGAGGGUUCCUGGAAAUAGCCCCCACACACAGACCGUACCCGAAACCGACACUGGUGGGCUGGUUGAGUAUACCGAGGCGCUUGAGAGAACGGCGCUGAAGGAAUUCGGCAAAUUGCUCCCGUAAGUUCGCGAGAAGGGAGCCCGGCUGUCGGGCAACCGGCGGUCGGGGGCACAGACCAGGGGGCGGCGACUGUUUACUAAAAACACAGGACUCUGCGAAGCCGCAAGGCGACGUAUAGGGUCUGACGCCUGCCCGGUGCCGGAAGGUUAAGGGGAGGGGUGCAAGCCCCGAACCGAAGCCCCGGUAAACGGCGGCCGUAACUAUAACGGUCCUAAGGUAGCGAAAUUCCUUGUCGGGUAAGUUCCGACCUGCACGAAUGGCGUAACGACUGCCCCACUGUCUCCAGCGCCGACUCAGCGAAAUUGAAUUCUCCGUGAAGAUGCGGAGUACCCGCGGUCAGACGGAAAGACCCCGUGGACCUUUACUACAGCUUUGCAGUGGCACUAGAGCCGGCAUGUGUAGGAUAGGUGGGAGGCUUGGAAACGGACGCGCCAGCGUUCGUGGAGCCGACCUUGAAAUACCACCCUUGUCGGUUCUAGUGCCUAACCGAGGCCCGUGAGCCGGGUCCGGGACACUGCAUGGCGGGUAGUUUGACUGGGGCGGUCGCCUCCCAAACGGUAACGGAGGCGCGCGAAGGUGGGCUCAGGCUGGUCGGAAAUCAGCUGGUGCGUGCAAUGGCAUAAGCCCGCCUGACUGCGAGGCCGACGGGCCGAGCAGAGACGAAAGUCGGUCAUAGUGAUCCGGUGGUCCCGCGUGGAAGGGCCAUCGCUCAACGGAUAAAAGGUACCCCGGGGAUAACAGGCUUAUCUCCCCCAAGAGUCCACAUCGACGGGGAGGUUUGGCACCUCGAUGUCGGCUCAUCGCAUCCUGGGGCUGAAGCGGGUCCCAAGGGUUCGGCUGUUCGCCGAUUAAAGCGGUACGUGAGCUGGGUUUAGAACGUCGUGAGACAGUUCGGUCCCUAUCUGCCGCGGGUGUUCGAGACUUGAGAGGACCUGUCCCUAGUACGAGAGGACCGGGAUGGACGCAGCUCUGGUGGACCGGUUGUCGCGCCAGCGGCAUAGCCGGGUAGCUACCUGCGGACGAGAUAACCGCUGAAUGCAUCUAAGCGGGAAACUCUCCUCAAAACCAGGUCUCGCCAGAAGAGCCGUGGUAGACCACCACGUCGAUAGGCCGGAGGUGGAAGCGCAGCAAUGUGUGAAGCCAACCGGUCCUAAUCGCUCGAUCGGCUUGAUCC
This 2747-nucleotide ribosomal RNA is filed under the name Limimonas halophila. RNAcentral's name for it is "bacterial LSU rRNA". It matches the Rfam family "Bacterial large subunit ribosomal RNA". Lineage: Bacteria; Pseudomonadati; Pseudomonadota; Alphaproteobacteria; Rhodospirillales; Rhodovibrionaceae. The record is from RNAcentral.